Molecule: long non-coding RNA, 1250 nt
Organism: Schistocerca gregaria
Lineage: Eukaryota; Metazoa; Arthropoda; Insecta; Orthoptera; Acrididae
Exons: 2
Source: RefSeq, a predicted model, not a curated record
ACAUAGAUUUCACCCCCGUGAUUAAUUUCGUCGAAGUGGUAGUUGCUGCAUAGAACCGUUGUAGUAACUCUGCAAUAGGCUUUGUGCUAUUGUGAUUUCUAAGAGACGAGAAGCGGAAUGCAAAGUUGUUGGAGAGAAAACAGGAAACGUAAUAUACGUUCACAUUCUGGGAAGCAAAUAAGCUGAUCGGUUGAAAUGAUUCUCGUUAGAAUAUUGUAUUUUCUCAUAGAAUUUAAAUGUAUAGGAUUUAUUUAAUAUUGUGACGUUUGUACUCAAGCUGUACGUGUAUGCAACUUACUAGUGUUGUACUGGCUGUUGGGAGGUUUCUUCAAAGGUAAAUCUCGUUUAAACAUGUCGAGUGGUUAAGCAGUGGAGUUGAACUUCAUUUUUAGUCACUGAAGUAUACAGGGUGCAUCAUAAUUAAUGGCGUAAACACAUAGAGUUGAAACUACACGAUACUAGAAGCAAAAAAAUCUCAGUAAACAUAGGGUCGAAAAUGCAUACCUUAAGAGAUACUAGUAAGGUUUCAUCUUCGAUACUAAGUCUCUUCUACUGAAACCUCUUUGCUUUCCACAUUUCGGGAAAUGGUAAUGUGGACCAAAACAAGAAAAAAAUGUCCAGUAAACAUGUGCUUUAAAAUCCAUACCUUAAGAGCUAUGAGCACAUGCUCAUCUUCGCUACUCUUCUAAUGAACAAUUGCUCAUAACUUUUAAGGUAUGCAUUUUAAAGCAAAUGUUUACUGGAUAUUUUUUUCUUGUUUUGGUCCACAUUACCAUUUCCCAAAAUAUGGAGACAAAGAGCGUACGGCAGAAGAGAUUUGCUUCACAGUACCGAAGAUGAAAAAUUGCUCGUAGCUCUUAAGAAACACACCGCAAAUCCAGCACCACACCAGAACUACCGGAUUGUACAACCAAACGUUCUCUACCACUACACUAUAUUUUCUGGUAUGGUUAAUAAGGAUAGGGCAUGGCGUAUACCCAAGAUAAUUAUUUUAUAUUUUACCAUCUGUGCCAAAUUAAUGUGUCUGGUAAUAUAUUUGUUAUGGCACUGUCAAAAGUAGUAUCAUAGAUACACUUUAAAAAAGUGAAAUGGUGUACAUUCCACUGUGAAAGCUCACUGUCAUGAAAUGUUUAUUGAAGUGGAUGACACUUCUAUCUCUUGUGUUGCAGUUACUGUUGUAAUGAGUGAUAUUUUUAGAAUGACAUGUUAAAAACACCUACAGUAAAAUAAAUUUUUUUAUCGUAAAAGGA